CCUACGGGAGGCAGCAGUGGGGAAUUUUGGACAAUGGGCGCAAGCCUGAUCCAGCAAUGCCGCGUGAGUGAAGAAGGCCUUCGGGUUGUAAAGCUCUUUUGUCAGGGAAGAAACGGUAGUUCCUAAUACGGACUACUAAUGACGGUACCUGAAGAAUAAGCACCGGCUAACUACGUGCCAGCAGCCGCGGUAAUACGUAGGGUGCAAGCGUUAAUCGGAAUUACUGGGCGUAAAGCGUGCGCAGGCGGUUAUAUAAGUCAGAUGUGAAAUCCCCGGGCUCAACCUGGGAACUGCAUUUGAGACUGUAUGGCUAGAGUGUAUCAGAGGGGGGUAGAAUUCCACGUGUAGCAGUGAAAUGCGUAGAUAUGUGGAGGAAUACCGAUGGCGAAGGCAGCCCCCUGGGAUAACACUGACGCUCAUGCACGAAAGCGUGGGGAGCAAACAGGAUUAGAUACCCUGGUAGUCCACGCCCUAAACGAUGUCUACUAGUUGUCGGGACUUAAUUGUCUUGGUAACGCAGCUAACGCGUGAAGUAGACCGCCUGGGGAGUACGGUCGCGAAGAUUAAAACUCAAAUGAAUUGACGG
Molecule: ribosomal RNA, 586 nt
Filed under: uncultured bacterium
Lineage: Bacteria
Description: bacterial SSU rRNA
Rfam family: Bacterial small subunit ribosomal RNA
Source: RNAcentral